AUAAGCAUUNUAUACNGUGAAACUGCGAAAGGGCUCAUUAAAUCAUUUAUCGUUUAUUUGAUAGUUCCUUUACUACGUGGUAUAGCUGUGGUAAUUCUACAGCUAAUACAUGCUUAAAAUCUCNACCCUUUGGAAGAGAUGUAUUUAUUAAAUAAAAAAUCAAUGUCUUCGGACUCUUUGAUGAUUCAUAAUAACUUUUCGAAUCGCAUGGCCUUGUGCUGGCGAUGGUUCAUUCAAAUUUCUGCCCUAUCAACUUUCGAUGGUAGGAUAGUGGCCUACCAUGGUUUCAACGGGUAGGGGNANANAUANUUAUAUGUGUUAUUAUAAUCUUCGGNAAAAUAGCAAAUAUAAGUCGGCGACGAUUCAUUCGAAUUUCUGCCCCAUCAACUCUCGAUGGUAGGAUAGAGGCCUACCAUGGUCGCAACGGGUAACGGGGNANANGGAACCAUCCNCCAGGNUACUCCNACNGUUAUUUCNUCUNUGU
RNAcentral lists this ribosomal RNA (484 nucleotides) under uncultured fungus. Its description in RNAcentral is "partial 18S ribosomal RNA". The stretch from base 1 to 407 matches the Rfam family "Eukaryotic small subunit ribosomal RNA", at positions 65 to 388 of the family's 1831-position model. Lineage: Eukaryota; Fungi. The record is from RNAcentral.